RNAcentral lists this ribosomal RNA (440 nucleotides) under uncultured bacterium. Its description in RNAcentral is "partial 16S ribosomal RNA". It matches the Rfam family "Bacterial small subunit ribosomal RNA", at positions 338 to 795 of the family's 1533-position model. The record is from RNAcentral.
CCUACGUGAGGCAGCAGUGGGGGAUAUUGCACAAUGGGGGAAACCCUGAUGCAGCGACGCCGCGUGGGUUACGAAGCGCCUAGGCGCGUAAAGCCCUGUCAGCAGGGAAGAAAAUUACGGUACCUGAAAAAGAAUCCCCGGCUAACAACAUGCAAGCAGCCGCGGUACUAUGUAGGAGACAAGCGUUAUCCGGAGUUAACGGGUGUAAAGCGGGCUCAUACGGCGAGACAAGCCAGUCGUGAAAGCCCGGGGCCCAACCCCGAGACUGCGCGUUGAACUGCGGGGCGAGAGUGCAGGAGGGGAAUGCGGAAUGCCUGGUGUAGCGGUGAAAUGCGGAGAUAUCAGGAGGAACACCGGUGGCGAAGGCGGCCUGCUGGACUGCAACUGACGUUGAGGCCCGAAAGCGUGGGGAGCAAACAGGAUUAGAUACCCGGGUAGUC